UAAGGAAUAUUGGUCAAUGGACGCAAGUCUGAACCAGCCAUGCCGCGUGAAGGAUGAAGGUCCUCUGGAUUGUAAACUUCUUUUAUCUGGGACGAAAACGGGAUUUUUAUCUCAAUUGACGGUACCAGAGGAAUAAGCACCGGCUAACUCCGUGCCAGCAGCCGCGGUAAUACGGAGGGUGCGAGCGUUAUCCGGAUUUACUGGGUUUAACGGGUGCGUAGGUGGGCUUAUAAGUCAGUGGUGAAAUCUCCGAGCUUAACUUGGAAACUGCCGUUGAUACUAUAGGUCUUGAAUUAUCUGGAGGUAAGCGGAAUAUGUCAUGUAGCGGUGAAAUGCUUAGAUAUGACAUAGAACACCAAUUGCGAAGGCAGCUUACUACAUAUAAAUUGACGCUGAGGCACGAAAGCGUGGGGAUCAAACA
RNAcentral lists this ribosomal RNA (421 nucleotides) under uncultured bacterium. RNAcentral's name for it is "bacterial SSU rRNA". It matches the Rfam family "Bacterial small subunit ribosomal RNA", at positions 355 to 774 of the family's 1533-position model. The record is from RNAcentral.